RNAcentral lists this ribosomal RNA (482 nucleotides) under Penicillium palmense. Its description in RNAcentral is "eukaryotic LSU rRNA". The stretch from base 118 to 271 matches the Rfam family "5.8S ribosomal RNA". Lineage: Eukaryota; Fungi; Ascomycota; Eurotiomycetes; Eurotiales; Aspergillaceae. The record is from RNAcentral.
UUCGGUGCGCCCGCCUCACGGCCGCCGGGGGGCUUCUGCCCCCGGGUCCGCGCGCACCGGAGACACCAUUGAACUCUGUCUGAAGAUUGCAGUCUGAGCAUAAACUAAAUAAGUUAAAACUUUCAACAACGGAUCUCUUGGUUCCGGCAUCGAUGAAGAACGCAGCGAAAUGCGAUAACUAAUGUGAAUUGCAGAAUUCAGUGAAUCAUCGAGUCUUUGAACGCACAUUGCGCCCCCUGGUAUUCCGGGGGGCAUGCCUGUCCGAGCGUCAUUGCUGCCCUCAAGCACGGCUUGUGUGUUGGGCUCCGUCCCCCCGGGGACGGGUCCGAAAGGCAGCGGCGGCACCGAGUCCGGUCCUCGAGCGUAUGGGGCUUUGUCACCCGCUCUGUAGGCCCGGCCGGCGCCAGCCGACAACCAAUCAUCCUUUUUCAGGUUGACCUCGGAUCAGGUAGGGAUACCCGCUGAACUUAAGCAUAUCAAUA